AACGAACGCUGGCGGCAGGCCUAACACAUGCAAGUCGAACGCCCUAGCAAUAGGGAGUGGCAGACGGGUGAGUAACACGUGGGAACCUUCCCUAUAGUACGGAAUAGCCCAGGCAAACUUGGAGUAAUACCGUAUACGCCAGAGAGGGGAAAGCUUUAUCGCUAUAGGAUGGGCCCGCGUCGGAUUAGCUAGUUGGAGAGAGAACGGCUCACCAAGGCGACGAUCCGGAGCUGGUUUGAGAGAAUGACCCGCCAAAAUGGGACUGAGACACGGCCCAGACUCCUACGGGAGGCAGCAGUGGGGAAUCUUGGACAAUGGGCGCAAGCCUGAUCCAGCCAUGCCGCGUGAGUGAUGAAGGCCCUAGGGUUGUAAAGCUCUUCUGUCGGGGACGACAAUGACGGUACCCGAAGAAUAAGCUCCGGCUAACUUCGUGCCAGCCGCCGCCGUAA
RNAcentral lists this ribosomal RNA (449 nucleotides) under uncultured bacterium. RNAcentral's name for it is "partial 16S ribosomal RNA". It matches the Rfam family "Bacterial small subunit ribosomal RNA", at positions 29 to 523 of the family's 1533-position model. The record is from RNAcentral.